AACCUAUGGUGAUAGCACCUUCUCAAUAGAUCUUUGUAUCUCUCCCAUGCAUCAUAAAGUGUUUCUAAAUCCAUCUACACAAAAAAAGAUAUAUCAUUCCUUAAUUU
This 107-nucleotide small nucleolar RNA is filed under the name Gossypium barbadense (sea-island cotton). Its description in RNAcentral is "Plant small nucleolar RNA R71". It matches the Rfam family "Plant small nucleolar RNA R71". Rfam says of the family: R71 is a member of the C/D box family of snoRNAs containing the C (UGAUGA) and D (CUGA) box motifs. RNAcentral also lists the same sequence under 2 other names. Lineage: Eukaryota; Viridiplantae; Streptophyta; Magnoliopsida; Malvales; Malvaceae. The record is from Rfam by way of RNAcentral.